GAUGAACGCUGGCGGCGUGCCUAAUACAUGCAAGUCGAGCGAACAGAUAAGGAGCUUGCUCCUUUGACGUUAGCGGCGGACGGGUGAGUAACACGUGGAUAACCUACCUAUAAGACUGGGAUAACUUCGGGAAACCGGAGCUAAUACCGGAUAACAUAUUGAACCGCAUGGUUCAAUAGUGAAAGGCGGCUUUGCUGUCACUUAUAGAUGGAUCCGCGCCGUAUUAGCUAGUUGGUAAGGUAACGGCUUACCAAGGCAACGAUACGUAGCCGACCUGAGAGAGUGAUCGGCCACACUGGAACUGAGACACGGUCCAGGCUCCUACGGGAGGCAGCAGUAGGGAAUCUUCCGCAAUGGGCGAAAGCCUGACGGAGCAACGCCGCGUGAGUGAUGAAGGUCUUCGGAUCGUAAAACUCUGUUAUCAGGGAAGAACAGAUGUGUAAGUAGCUGUGCACAUCUUGACGGUACCUGAUCAGAAAGCCACGGCUAACUACGUG
This 497-nucleotide ribosomal RNA is filed under the name uncultured bacterium. RNAcentral describes it as "partial 16S ribosomal RNA". It matches the Rfam family "Bacterial small subunit ribosomal RNA", at positions 28 to 507 of the family's 1533-position model. The record is from RNAcentral.